GCAGAGCACUACCUACGGGAGGCAGCAGUGGGGAAUAUUGCACAAUGGGCGCAAGCCUGAUGCAGCCAUGCCGCGUGUAUGAAGAAGGCCUUCGGGUUGUAAAGUACUUUCAGCAGUGAGGAAGGUGGGUAUGUUAAUAGCAUAUUCAUUUGACGUUAGCUGCAGAAGAAGCACCGGCUAACUCCGUGCCAGCAGCCGCGGUAAUACGGAGGGUGCGAGCGUUAAUCGGAAUUACUGGGCGUAAAGCGCAUGCAGGUGGUUUGUUAAGUCAGAUGUGAAAGCCCGGGGCUCAACCUCGGAAUUGCAUUUGAAACUGGCAAACUAGAGUACUGUAGAGGGGGUAGAAUUUCAGGUGUAGCGGUGAAAUGCGUAGAGAUCUGAAGGAAUACCGGUGGCGAAGGCGGCCCCCUGGACAGAUACUGACACUCAGAUGCGAAAGCGUGGGGAGCAAACAGGAUUAGAUACCCUGGUAG
This 473-nucleotide ribosomal RNA is filed under the name uncultured bacterium. RNAcentral's name for it is "bacterial SSU rRNA". It matches the Rfam family "Bacterial small subunit ribosomal RNA", at positions 328 to 793 of the family's 1533-position model. The record is from RNAcentral.